AUGAACGCUGGCGGCGUGCCUAAUCCAUGCAAGUCGCGCGAACAGACGAGGAGCUUGCUCCUCUGACGUUAGCGGCGGACGGGUGAGUAACACGUGGAUAACCUACCUAUAAGACUGGGAUAACUUCGGGAAACCGGAGCUAAUACCGGAUAAUAUAUUUAACCGCAUGGUUCAAUAGUGAAAGACGGUUUUGCUGUCACUUAUAGAUGGAUCCGCGCCGCAUUAGCUAGUUGGUAAGGUAACGGCUUACCAAGGCAACGAUGCGUAGCCGACCUGAGAGGGUGAUCGGCCACACUGGAACUGAGACACGGUCCAGACUCCUACGGGAGGCAGCAGUAGGGAAUCUUCCGCAAUGGGCGAAAGCCUGACGGAGCAACGCCGCGUGAGUGAUGAAGGUCUUCGGAUCGUAAAACUCUGUUAUUAGGGAAGAACAAAUGUGUAAGUAACUAUGCACGUCUUGACGGUACCUAAUCAGAAAGCCACGGCCAACUACGUG
This 496-nucleotide ribosomal RNA is filed under the name uncultured bacterium. RNAcentral describes it as "partial 16S ribosomal RNA". It matches the Rfam family "Bacterial small subunit ribosomal RNA", at positions 29 to 507 of the family's 1533-position model. The record is from RNAcentral.